GACGAACGCUGGCGGCGUGCUUAACACAUGCAAGUCGAACGGAGCGAAUGAAAGCUUGCUUUUAUGAGCUUAGUGGCAAACGGGUGAGUAACACGUAGACAACCUGCCGAUCAGAUGGGGACAACAUUCCGAAAGGAAUGCUAAUACCGAAUGGUGUGCGAGGGAGGCAUCUCCCCCGCAUGAAAGAUGGCCAAUACAUGUAAGCUAUCACUGAUCGAUGGGUCUGCGUCUGAUUAGCUGGUAGGUAAGGUAACGGCUUACCUAGGCGACGAUCAGUAGCCGGUCUGAGAGGAUGAACGGCCACAUUGGGACUGAGACACGGCCCAGACUCCUACGGGAGGCAGCAGUGGGGAAUCUUCCGCAAUGGGCGCAAGCCUGACGGAGCAACGCCGCAUGAGUGAAGAAGGUCUUCGGAUCGUAAAGCUCUGUUGAAGGGGACGAACGUGUAUAGUGCAAAUAGUGCUA
Molecule: ribosomal RNA, 465 nt
Filed under: Selenomonas sp. oral taxon 133
Lineage: Bacteria; Bacillati; Bacillota; Negativicutes; Selenomonadales; Selenomonadaceae
Description: bacterial SSU rRNA
Rfam family: Bacterial small subunit ribosomal RNA
Source: RNAcentral